UUUCAUAAUCCUGAAUGGCUGUCAAAAUAUGUUGAAGAUAAUGCUGUAAGAGGAAUUACAACUUCUGACCCUGCACGUGUGAUGCUGACGUCACCAUCCCCAACCCCUUCUUUUGCAUUACAACCGAAGAGGUGCCAUCACCUUCACCAUUUUGUUCAAAACUAUGAAAGACAUUAUUUUAAGUAUUCAGAAAGUACAAGGCAUCUGGAAAUCUAACGUCAUGCACAGAAGAGUCAACACCGCAGGCCUGAGAUACCCCAGAGAAGGCCUGCUUGCCCUUGGCUGGUGACUGGGAGGCUGUUCCCUCCGUUCCCUGAAAAGAAUGGCUCACGGACCUAAGCUGUUUGUACAAACAAUGUGGUUUAUGCUAAACGUCUCGCCUUCUGGGAGUCUGGAAUUUCAGCACAGGCCAGGCAGAAGGUGCCCACCUGGCCAGCCCCCAGUAAAACCCUGGGCACCGGCUCUCUAAGGGGCUUACCUGGGAGACACCUGCAUGCACUGUGGAAUCAAGCUUGUUGCAUGACUGUCAGAGACACCUAGACACUUCCGCCGGUCUCCUGGGGGGUCUCAGCCCUGCGCCUUUUCCCUCUGCUGAGCCUGUUUUGUGUCUUUUCACUAGAAUAAAUCUUAGCCCUCAGAA
Sus scrofa (pig) is the source of this 640-nucleotide non-coding RNA. The record is from RefSeq and is a predicted model, not a curated record. NCBI's taxonomy places the organism in Eukaryota, Metazoa, Chordata, Mammalia, Artiodactyla, Suidae.